UGGGGGUGGCACUCGGCGAAGAGGUUGUCAUGUCUAAGUACAAGCCGCUAGUCGGCGAAACCGCGAAUGGCUCAAUAAAUCAGUUAUGGUUCCUUAGAUCCACUCCAUCCUACUUGGAUAACUGUGGUAAUUCUAGAGCUAAUACAUGCACUCGAGCCCCGACGGCCUACUUCUUUUAACCACGAGCGCACAGAGGGUGUGCUUUUAAUAUAUCAAAACCUCUCGAGACCCCCUCAAAACGCAGACCGUACCUUUUUGGUGACUCUGGAUAACUUCACGCAUAUCGCGUGCCCCUCGACCCCGACACACAUCUCUCAUGUGUCUGCCAUAUCCUGUGUCUAUGGUAUGUUACGCCCCUACCGUGGGUGCCACGGGUAACGGAGAAUCGGGGUUCUACUCCAGAGAGAGAGCCAGAAAAACCGAUACCACAUCCAGAGAACGCAACGCGCGCACAAAUUACCCACUCCCCGCACGGAGAUGUAGUGAAAAAAAAUAAAUAUACGACACUCUUCAGACGCCCCGUGAUUGGAGUGAAUACUCUUUAUCUCCUUUAACGAAGAACCUGUGGAGGGCAUCUCUGGUGCCCACACCCGCUGUCUCUCCCUCUCCUAUAGCAUAUAUUAAAUUUUUUGCUGUUAAAAAUCUCAUACUCAUAUGUCUGUUCUCCGCCGGGCCGCCCCUCUCUGAAUCAAGGGUGUGCGUUCUUUUCUCUCUGAAAAAACGGGUGUCAAACCCCAGACUCUUUUCAGGGGUCAGACAAUAUCCCCCAGAGUGGUUCCUCGGUGGCCCCCUCGGUAUAAAGCUUUUUGUCGGUUUUUUCGAUUUCUGGAGAAUCCUCCGGGCGUCUCUCCCCCACCCGUUAAAUCCUCCGGGGGUGCCCUUUCACCCGGGGUGUCUCCGGGCGCGCGAGCAACUUUUUUUUUUAAAAAAAAUUAAGAGUUGCAAAAAAGCGGGGUAUUAUCCCCCACCCCCCAGAACUCUCCACAACCGUUGAAAAUGAUAAAAAUAGACACCCUCGCCCCAUAUUUUUGGAGGAUCUUUUCUUUUUUUUAGCACCAGGAGGGUAGUGCUUCAAUAAAAUAAAAAAAGGGGGCGUCUUUUUCUUACUUCCCCCACCACAAGGAGGGAAAAAAUUUUUUUGGAUUCCUUCCUACAAAAAAAAAAAAAUAAAACGAAGAAAAGAAUUUUUUCCCAAAAAGAAUUUUUUUUUACCUUGGGACGGGAGCCAAGCAGAAAUUUUAUAAGUUGCUUUGCUAGGCUGCUUAGCUUGAACUGACCCCGCCCCGAUAGGUGCCC
RNAcentral lists this ribosomal RNA (1296 nucleotides) under Simocephalus vetulus. RNAcentral describes it as "partial 18S ribosomal RNA". The stretch from base 12 to 614 matches the Rfam family "Eukaryotic small subunit ribosomal RNA", at positions 31 to 597 of the family's 1831-position model. Lineage: Eukaryota; Metazoa; Arthropoda; Branchiopoda; Diplostraca; Daphniidae. The record is from RNAcentral.